UACGAAGGGGGCUAGCGUUGCUCGGAAUCACUGGGCGUAAAGAGCUCGUAGGCGGUUUGUCACGUCUGCUGUGAAAACUGGAGGCUCAACCUCCAGCCUGCAGUGGGUACGGGCAGACUAGAGUGCGGUAGGGGAGAUUGGAAUUCCUGGUGUAGCGGUGGAAUGCGCAGAUAUCAGGAGGAACACCAAUGGCGAAGGCAGAUCUCUGGGCCGUAACUGACGCUGAGGAGCGAAAGCAUGGGGAGCGAACAGG
This 253-nucleotide ribosomal RNA is filed under the name uncultured bacterium. RNAcentral's name for it is "partial 16S ribosomal RNA". It matches the Rfam family "Bacterial small subunit ribosomal RNA", at positions 524 to 776 of the family's 1533-position model. The record is from RNAcentral.